GACGAACGCUGGCGGCGUGCCUAAUACAUGCAAGUCGAGCGAGUCUGCCUUGAAGAUCGGAGUGCCUGCACUCUGUGAAACAAGAUACAGGCUAGCGGCGGACGGGUGAGUAACACGUGGGUAACCUGCCCAAGAGAUCGGGAUAACACCUGGAAACAGAUGCUAAUACCGGAUAACAACAGAUGAUGCCUAUCAACUGUUUAAAAGAUGGUUCUGCUAUCACUCUUGGAUGGACCUGCGGUGCAUUAGCUAGUUGGUAGGGUAACGGCCUACCAAGGCGAUGAUGCAUAGCCGAGUUGAGAGACUGAUCGGCCACAUUGGGACUGAGACACGGCCCAAACUCCUACGGGAGGCAGCAGUAGGGAAUCUUCCACAAUGGACGAAAGUCUGAUGGAGCAACGCCGCGUGAGUGAAGAAGGGUUUCGGCUCGUAAAGCUCUGUUGUUGGUGAAGAAGGACAGGGGUAGUAACUGACCUUUGUUUGACGGUAAUCAAUUAGAAAGUCACGGCUAACUAAGUG
Molecule: ribosomal RNA, 519 nt
Filed under: uncultured bacterium
Lineage: Bacteria
Description: partial 16S ribosomal RNA
Rfam family: Bacterial small subunit ribosomal RNA
Source: RNAcentral